This 46-nucleotide non-coding RNA is filed under the name Schistosoma mansoni. The record is from RNAcentral. Lineage: Eukaryota; Metazoa; Platyhelminthes; Trematoda; Strigeidida; Schistosomatidae.
GCACUGCUGAGGAGUUCCGUAGUAGGACGAAACGGCCGUCCAGUGU